Molecule: ribosomal RNA, 423 nt
Filed under: uncultured bacterium
Lineage: Bacteria
Description: partial 16S ribosomal RNA
Rfam family: Bacterial small subunit ribosomal RNA
Source: RNAcentral
AUAUUGGACAAUGGGGGCAACCCUGAUCCAGCCAUGCCGCGUGUGUGAAGAAGGUCUUCGGAUUGUAAAGCACUUUAAGUUGGGAGGAAGGGCUUUAGGUUAAUACCCUGAAGUUUUGACGUUACCACUAGAAUAAGCACCGGCUAACUCUGUGCCAGCAGCCAGGGUAAUCCAGAGGGUGCAAGCGGUAAUCGGUAUUACGGGGCGUAAAGCGCGAGUAGGUGGUUCAGUAAGAUGGGUGUGAAAUCCCAGGGCUUAACCUGGGAACUGCUUUCAUAACUGCUGAGCUAGAGUACGGUAGAGGGUAGUGGAAUUUCCUGUGUAGCGGUGAAAUGCGUAGAUAUAGGAAGGAACACCAGUGGCGAAGGCGACUACCUGGACUGAUACUGACACUGAGGUGCGAAAGCGUGGGGAGCAAACAGG